This 253-nucleotide ribosomal RNA is filed under the name uncultured bacterium. RNAcentral describes it as "partial 16S ribosomal RNA". It matches the Rfam family "Bacterial small subunit ribosomal RNA", at positions 524 to 776 of the family's 1533-position model. The record is from RNAcentral.
UACGUAGGGGGCAAACGUUGUCCGGAAUCAUUGGGCGUAAAGAGCGUGUAGGCGGCCAGAAAAGUCCGCUGUGAAAACUCGAGGCUCAACUUCGAGCUGUCGGUGGAAACUUUCUGGCUAGAGUCCGGAAGAGGAGAAUGGAAUUCCUGGUGUAGCGGUGAAAUGCGCAGAUAUCAGGAAGAACACCCGUGGCGAAGGCGGUUCUCUGGGACGGUACUGACGCUGAGACGCGAAAGCGUGGGGAGCGAACAGG